This 181-nucleotide non-coding RNA is filed under the name Alkalihalophilus pseudofirmus. RNAcentral's name for it is "Bacillus pseudofirmus 6S RNA". It matches the Rfam family "6S / SsrS RNA". From Rfam's summary of the family: E. coli 6S RNA was the first non coding RNA to be sequenced, but its function was unknown until recently. The record is from RNAcentral. Lineage: Bacteria; Bacillati; Bacillota; Bacilli; Caryophanales; Bacillaceae. RNAcentral also lists the same sequence under 2 other names.
AGAGUCCUACAUUGUUCGUAAAAACUGAUUGUUUUGAGCCAACACUUUUGAAAAGGGAGCAAUAAGUUGUUUGUUGGAUUACAUGCCUUCUACGUCAAGGACGUAAGAGAAUGAACACUAGGCACCCACCUGUGAGAGCAGGUUCAAAACGUAAGUCAAAUACGGCAUAGCUGGGAUUCUU